GUUGAGGGGAAUGCUGUCUGAUUCGAGACCAUUCACUUUAAGCACACAUUCAUCUUUCGAAUGAUCUCGGACCAGGCUUCAUUCCCCCCAAC
Populus trichocarpa (black cottonwood) is the source of this 92-nucleotide non-coding RNA. The record is from Rfam. NCBI's taxonomy places the organism in Eukaryota, Viridiplantae, Streptophyta, Magnoliopsida, Malpighiales, Salicaceae.